RNAcentral lists this ribosomal RNA (253 nucleotides) under uncultured bacterium. RNAcentral's name for it is "partial 16S ribosomal RNA". It matches the Rfam family "Bacterial small subunit ribosomal RNA", at positions 524 to 776 of the family's 1533-position model. The record is from RNAcentral.
UACGGAGGGUGCAAGCGUUGUUCGGAAUCAUUGGGCGUAAAGCGCGUGUAGGCGGCUUGGCAAGUCAGUUGUGAAAGCCCGGGGCCCAACCCCGGAAUUGCAUCUGAAACUGCCUGGCUAGAGUCCCGGAGAGGAAGGCAGAAUUCCCGGUGUAGGGGUGAAAUCCGUAGAUAUCGGGAGGAAUACCAGCGGCGAAGGCGGCCUUCUGGACGGUGACUGACGCUGAGACGCGAAAGCGUGGGGAGCGAACAGG